GACGAACGCUGGCGGCGUGCCUAAUACAUGCAAGUUGAGCGCUAAAGGAUGGUACUUGUACCAACUGGAUGAGCAGCGAACGGGUGAGUAACGCGUGGGGCAUCUGCCUUUUAGCGGGGGAGAACAUUGGGGAACGAAUGCUAAUACCGCAUAAAAACUUUAAACACAAGUUUUAAGUUUGAAAGAUGCAAUUGCAUCACUCAAAGAUGAUCCCGCGUUGUAUUAGCUAGUUGGUGAGGUAAAGGCUCAACAAGGCAAAGAUACAUAGCCGAGCUGAGAGGGGGGUCGGGCCAAACGGGACUGAGACACGGCCCAAAACUCCACGGGAGGCAGCAGUAGGGAAACUUUGGCAAUGGACGAAAGUCUGACCGAGCAACGCCGGGUGAGUGAAGAAGGUUCUCGGAUCGUAAAACUCUGUUGGUAGGGAAGAACGUUGGUGAGGGUGGAAAGCUCAUCAAGUGACGGUAACUACCCAGAAAGCGCCGGCUAACUACGUG
This 497-nucleotide ribosomal RNA is filed under the name uncultured bacterium. Its description in RNAcentral is "partial 16S ribosomal RNA". It matches the Rfam family "Bacterial small subunit ribosomal RNA", at positions 28 to 507 of the family's 1533-position model. The record is from RNAcentral.